AAUAUUGCACAAUGGGCGCAAGCCUGAUGCAGCAACGCCGCGUGAGCGAUGAAGGCCUUCGGGUCGUAAAGCUCUGUCCUCAAGGAAGAAUAAAUGACGGUACUUGAGGAGGAACGCCCCCGGCUAACUACGUGCCAGCAGCCGCGGUAAUACGGUAGGGGCAAGCGUUAUCCGGAAUCACUGGGCGGUAAAGGGUGCGUAGGCGGUUUUCAAGUCAGAAGUGAAAGGCUAUGGCUCAACCAUAGUAAGCUUUUGAAACUGUUAAACUUGAGUGCAGGAGAGGAAAGUGGAAUUCCUAGUGUAGAGGUGAAAUUCGUAGAUAUUAGGAGGAACACCAGUGGCGAAGGCGACUUUCUGGACUGUAACUGACGCUGAGGCACGAAAGCGUGGGGAGCGAACAGGAUUAGAUACCCUGGUAG
Molecule: ribosomal RNA, 419 nt
Filed under: uncultured bacterium
Lineage: Bacteria
Description: bacterial SSU rRNA
Rfam family: Bacterial small subunit ribosomal RNA
Source: RNAcentral